CGACUCGAGUGUCGGAUAGGAUUGGGUGCCACGAUCUCUGACUCCGGCUUUUUCUUAUUUUUGGAUCGAUCACUACUUCACUAAUUCUUCCCACUUUCUUUUCUUCUCAACUUCUCCAUCUUCUUUACCAUUCAUAAAACCGCCGAGAAUAAAAACCUUAAUAAAUCGCUCAUCUAUCUAAUUCUCAAACUCUUAUUUUGUUGAAAAAGAUGGAUUAUAUUUUGGAUUGACCAAUUUUGAUAAGGAUUAAGUAGGGUUUGUUAGGUGUGCUGUAGUGUUUAAAUGUUGAUGUAGCUCCUUGAUGGAAUCUGAUCUUUGAUUAUCAUCGCUAUCAUAAUACAACAACUUUUGCGAGGUAGGGAAGUUGAUCGUUUGGGUGAAUUUAGUUUUAUCGGAAGUUUUGUUCCAGUAAUUCCUUCUUCUGUGCUAAGUUUAAUCUUGAUUCUGGACAAUCAGUCUUGACUCUUGAUGUAUUUUAAGGAGCAAGCACCUUCAGUCAUUUUCAUGAAUGACGUUGACAAUAUUGGUUCUGCUUGUAUGGAAUCUGGAACUGGUAAUGGUUAUAAUGAAGUGCAGAAAACCAAGGGGCAUAACUCUUGCCAUACUAAUUUUCAACAGCUUGCUCUCAUUAGUGUACGAGGAAAGUAAUCUUUUACUUACAGAACCUUGUGAACAAGUUGAAGGGAUGAAAUCCCAGUAGAUGCUUUCUCCUGUCAAUUUUAUUCAGCCACGCACAUAUUUACAUUCUAUAAAUCACGUAAGUUAGAGAUGCCAAUGCAUUUAAUUUGAUCUGUUAUUUAUUCUGUUGUAAGGAACGUCUUCUUAGGAGUUAUUGUUGGCAGUCAUUUCAAAUUUCUUUCAACAACUUUGGUUGCUUGCUUUUAACAUUUUUGUAUAGACUUCAAUUGUGGUUUAGUCAUAUAUUUUUAUAGUUUAGAGGAGCCAUGGAGAAAGAAAAACUUCAAUUUAUCACUUUAUCCUGCCUCCUUUCAAGCUUGUCUGUGUCUGUGUCAGUGUCUCUUUUUUUUUUUCUCUGCAUUUCAUCAAUUAAUUCUACCGUGUUCGACUUCUAAUGUAAUGUCAAUCACUUUCUAUGAUUAAUAUCUAGUUUUGUGGUGUUUGCAUCUCUUUUCACAAUGUAAUUGAAGCUUAUGUAAUAAUAUGUUAUGGGUCGGAUGAGAUAUAUAUGCCUUGGCCUUCGUGCUCAAUAAGGAAAUGCCAAGUUAUAUUUCACGUUUUUCAACCUUUUUUUAUACUUGUAUCAAAUUCCUAUUAAUGAUGUUUCUUUUGGAUUUGGGUGCUGGUGGCUUUGAGUGAAUUGUGUCUGGGAAGGUGGUGAUUAGUGAUGACUGAUAUAUGAGUAAGCUUCAUUGCGCACCGAGUAUUGCACAAUCUCUGUGUAAUAGCAUACAUUUGAGUAUCAGCGCAGUCAUCCAAGAUUCAGACAUGCUUGCUUAUUCCUUACACUGGGCGUAACUCUCACCACAGUAAUUUUGCACAAAUUGUUCCUGUUGGUGCCUGAGGGACGACAGAAGACUGCUAGCAGUGACGUAAUAUUCUCCUAUCUGAUAGAGUAUAUUCAUUGUUCGAAGAAUGACACACACUUCAGCAGUAUAAGAUCUUACAUUGUGUCAUGAAUUCUACAUUUUGUUUUAUUCCUCUCUUCUAUAUAUUCUGUUGCAGCCAAGCCACAUCCUAGCGGAAGAGUUUGGAGGUACAAGCAUCUUCAGUAAACAGAACCUAGGGUAGGCUGGCAAUGGAAGUGCAAUUCUCCUUCGCGAAAUUUGUUGGAGGUUGCCCUUCCAACUCUUUUAUGCGAAUGUGUUUAUAUAUUUUGAAACUUGCUGACAAUAUUGAUAUUACUUGUAAAACUCUAUCACAUUCCGUGUAUCAACAUAUUUAUAUUCCAUGUUGAUUUUCCAUUAUAUUAUUUGACUUGAUGCAA
Long non-coding RNA from Papaver somniferum (opium poppy), 1945 nucleotides. RefSeq lists it as uncharacterized. The transcript has 5 exons. Lineage: Eukaryota; Viridiplantae; Streptophyta; Magnoliopsida; Ranunculales; Papaveraceae. The record is from RefSeq and is a predicted model, not a curated record.